This 550-nucleotide ribosomal RNA is filed under the name Isognomon perna. RNAcentral's name for it is "partial 12S ribosomal RNA". It matches the Rfam family "Bacterial small subunit ribosomal RNA", at positions 750 to 1419 of the family's 1533-position model. The record is from RNAcentral. Lineage: Eukaryota; Metazoa; Mollusca; Bivalvia; Pterioida; Isognomonidae.
ACCACGAAGCCUGGGUGAAGGACGGGGAUUAGGAACCCCCUUACUCCAAGGUGUCAAUAAGAGCUGGGGACUACGAGCGUAUGCUUAAAACUCGAAGAUCUUGGCGGUGCGGAUACAGCCAGGCAGGGGAACUUGACGCUUAAUCCGAUGAUCCGCGUUUAAUCUCAUCUUUUCUCGAAUGCCUUCGGGCACAGGUGUUCCACCGCCGUCUAAGAACUAAAAGGAAGGGAAUAGAAUAGAAGCGCCCCAGGUUGAUAGACUGCUGCGUGGAGUGGCAGGUCUUCCCGACUGUCCUGUUGAGAACCGGGUUGGAUUUUGAAAUUCUUGAAGUUCAGGGGCGGGGACUUUUGCUAACUGUUUCAGGCAAGUAAUACAGGUCGAGGCGACCUCCAUGAAAAGAGGUUAGUUGAGUUACUAAAUGACGGAUUCUCGGGGGUAGAUUAGUCCGGGAUGAAGAAGGACUUGCAUGUAGGGAGGGAUUAAAACGCCCUCUUGAAUGGGGAAAUGCCGCGCGUACAAAUCGCCCGUCACUCUCGGGGAGACCUGAGAU